AUGAUUUGAAAAACUGAGUUCCAAAAAUUUCCCAAAUGACAAUCCCCAAGCAGCAUCAGACAUCAAUACCCUCCUGGUUGGAGGAGGGAAACCAUUGGUCCGAGGACAUCGCAGACACCUGUGCCACAUCCAUAUCUUUCCUUCCCGUUCUCCUGGCAAGAGACGUUCAGGUAGGUUCUUUACAGAGGUCCGGGGACAUCGCAGACACCUGUGCCACAUCCAUAUCUUUCCUUCCCAUUCUCCUGGCAAGAUACGUUCAGGUAGGUUCUUUACAGAAAUUGUGAGGCUGCCUUGCCGAUGAGUAUAGCAACGAACAUGUGCUUCUGGCGGCAUUUCACAUGAGGAACACCUAUAAUUCUG
Molecule: long non-coding RNA, 360 nt
Filed under: Nicotiana benthamiana
Lineage: Eukaryota; Viridiplantae; Streptophyta; Magnoliopsida; Solanales; Solanaceae
Description: long non-coding RNA (NBEN_LNC006089)
Source: RNAcentral